GCGGGUCCCUAUGCUCUAUGCGGGAAGAAUAACCACGGUAACCUGUGGCUAAGAGUGUAGAAUAAGGUGCAAUCCUAUUAGUUUGUUGGUAGUGUAAAGGACUACCAAGGCAGUGAUGGGUAACGGGAAAUCAGGGUUUGAUUCCGGAGAGGGAGCCUGAGAGAUGGCUCCCACGUCCAAGGAUGGCAGCAGGCGCGAAAAUUGUCCACUCUUUUGAGAGGAGACAGUUAUGAAACGUGAGUAGAAGGGUCGAGUGUAAAAACCUUGACGUGAAGCAAUUGGAGGGCAAGUUUUGGUGCCAGCAGCCGCGGUAAUUCCAACUCCAAGAGUGUCUAUGGUGGAUGCUGCAGUUAAAGGGUCCGUAGUCGUAGAUGCAAUUAAAAGGUGGUGUUAAAAGCCAUUGAGUUUGUUGAGAGUAGCGGAACGGAUAGGGAGCAUGGUAUAGGUGGGCAAAGAAUGAAAUCUCAAGACCCCACCUGGACCAACGGAGGCGAAAGCGAUGCUCUUAGACGUAUCUGGGGAUCAAGGACGAAGGCUAGAGUAUCGAAAGUGAUUAGACACCGCUGUAGUUCUAGCAGUAAACUAUGCCGACAAUGCUGGGUGUUGCGAGAGCGAUGCUUGGUGUGGGAGAAAUCUUAGUUUUCGGGCUCUGGGGAUAGUACGCUCGCAAGGGUGAAACUUAAAGCGAAAUUGACGGAAGGACACUACCAGGAGUGGAUUGUGCUGCUUAAUUUAACUCAACGCGGGAAAACUUACCAGGGUCAAGUCUAUCGUAGAUUGGAGACAUGAGGUAGACAAGAGUGGUGCAUGGCCGUUGGAAAUUGAUGGGGCGACUUUUAGCUUAAGUGCUGGAACCAGUGAGAUCUUCUAGACAGGUGUUAUUUAGGCACAGGAGGGAGAAGGCAAUAACAGGUCCGUGAUGCCCUUAGAUAUCCUGGGCAGCAAGCGCAAUACAAUAUCUCUUGAGAAGACAAAGCAAUUUGAGAUGAGUAGGAUUAGCUUUUGUAAAUAAGCU
RNAcentral lists this ribosomal RNA (1015 nucleotides) under Ecytonucleospora hepatopenaei. RNAcentral describes it as "SSU rRNA". It matches the Rfam family "Microsporidia small subunit ribosomal RNA", at positions 97 to 1121 of the family's 1311-position model. The record is from RNAcentral. Lineage: Eukaryota; Fungi; Microsporidia; Enterocytozoonidae.